GUCGUUGUAGUAUAGUGGUAAGUAUUCUCCCGCCUGUCACGCGGGUGACCCGGGUUCGAUCCCCGGCAACGGCG
Molecule: transfer RNA, 74 nt
Filed under: Salvia splendens (bonfire salvia)
Lineage: Eukaryota; Viridiplantae; Streptophyta; Magnoliopsida; Lamiales; Lamiaceae
Rfam family: tRNA
About the family: Transfer RNA (tRNA) molecules are approximately 80 nucleotides in length. Their secondary structure includes four short double-helical elements and three loops (D, anti-codon, and T loops).
Source: Rfam by way of RNAcentral